CAAUAGCGUAUAUUAAAGUUGUUGCGGUAAAAAAGCUCGUAGUUGGAUUUCUACCGAAGAUAGCCGGUCGGGUCUUCGACCUUGUAUCUGGUUUUGUCUUUGGUAUCCUCAUAGGGAACGUUUCUGCGCUUUAUUGCGUGGUGCGGUAUCUAUGACUUUUACUUUGAGGAAAUUAGAGUGUUCACGGCAGGCAAACGCCUUGAAUAUAUUAGCAUGGAAUAAUAACAUAGGAUCUUCGUCCUAUUUUGUUGGUUUCUAGGGCUAAGAUAAUGAUUAAUAGGGAUAAUUGGGGGCAUCUGUAUCAACGCGUCAGAGGUGGAAUCCUUGGAUUGCGUUGCGACAAACUACUGCGAAAGCAUUUGCCAAGGAUGUUUUCAUUGA
RNAcentral lists this ribosomal RNA (381 nucleotides) under uncultured eukaryote. RNAcentral describes it as "partial 18S ribosomal RNA". It matches the Rfam family "Eukaryotic small subunit ribosomal RNA", at positions 592 to 976 of the family's 1831-position model. The record is from RNAcentral.